AUAGCAUAUGGCGGUUUGUAGUUUAAUUGGCAAAGACAUA
Molecule: transfer RNA, 40 nt
Filed under: Ecklonia cava
Lineage: Eukaryota; Phaeophyceae; Laminariales; Lessoniaceae
Description: partial tRNA-Ile
Source: RNAcentral